UUACAGCAGGUGCGCCGUUAACAACGGUUUCCUCAGACCCCUACGUGGAGAGCAUCGCCGAAAGCCUUCAGGCGGCGCUGCAGACGUUCAGCAGCACGCUCAACGGCACGUGUAACCUGAGUGGUGUGCCAGCCUGGAUCUGCACUGAGACCCAUGCUGAGCCAAACCAGAGAUCAGAGGCGGCCGACAAGCUGUUGCAGCAUCAGAAGUGUGCGGAGCAGCUCAUAUCCUUCUGUCCUGCAGUCAGAGGCCCCCUGUGUGAUGCCAUCACGCUGAACAACGACCUGCGGCAACACCUGACGGGGUCAUACCUGGGUCCGGCACAGUGUCCCUCCGACUCGACUACGAUAGUAGAGUACAACCAGAUCCAGACCUCCAUCAGCUGUGCUCAGUGCUGGAGGCAGCAGGUGGACGCCCU
Trematomus bernacchii (emerald rockcod) is the source of this 418-nucleotide long non-coding RNA. RefSeq lists it as uncharacterized. The transcript has 4 exons. The record is from RefSeq and is a predicted model, not a curated record. NCBI's taxonomy places the organism in Eukaryota, Metazoa, Chordata, Actinopteri, Perciformes, Nototheniidae.